CACACACAACACAUUCGUUUCUAGUACCAACUCUGAAGAUGCUAAAUCCCUUGCAAUUAUUGCAAGAGCGAAAUGAAAGCUCCUCCUUUUUGCAACCUUUGGCAUUCACACUGCUGGCCAUUUUCCUUGUCCUCCUAUACACAUGGUACUCUUCGACUAAAACCACCACCCAAAAAUCAACACAACCACCUUCUCCACCAAAGCUACCUAUCAUUGGAAACCUUCACCAGAUAGGCUCGUACCCUCAUCGAUCACUUCAAGCCUUGUCCCAACGCCAUGGCCCUCUCAUGCUUCUCCACUUUGGAAGUGUCCCGGUGCUUGUUGUCUCUUCAGCUGAGGCAGCCCGGGAGAUCUUGAAAACUCAUGACCUUGCGUUUUCUGAUCGACCCAAGUCCACAAUCUUUGAGAAGCUUCUCUACAACUACAAAGAUGUCGCAACCGCUCCGUAUGGUGAGUAUUGGAGGCAGGUGAGAAGUAUAUGUGUUUUAAAUCUUUUGAGCAACAGAAGGGUUCGGUCUUUUCGUUCUGUGAGAGAAGAGGAAACCAAAUCCAUGAUCAGAAACAUAAAGGACUCAUCAUCAUCAUCUGUUUUGAAUCUAAGCGAGAUGUUUGUGAGGCUUACUAAUGAUGUAGUGUGUAGAGUGGCUCUAGGGAGGAAGUACAGUGAAGGGGAAGGCGGGGAAAGUGGGAGGAUGUUUAAGGAGAUUUUAGGGGAUUUCGCUGACUUACUGGGAACUGUUAAUAUUGGGGACUAUAUCCCAUGGCUUUCUUGGUUGAGCCAUGUCAAUGGUUUGGGAGCCAAGUUAGACAAGGUGGCUAAGCAGUUGGAUGACUUUAUAGAUACAGUGGUUGAAGAGCAUAUGAACCAUAGUUCAAGGAGUGGAUAUGAUGACCAAAAGGAUUUUUUGGACAUUUUGCUUGCAAUUCAGAAAGAAAACUUGGCUGGCAUUCCUAUUGAUAGAGUUAGUGUAAAGGCUAUCAUCUUGGUAACUCUCUCUCUCUCUCUCUCUCUCUCUCUCUCUCUCUCUCUCUCUAUAUAUAUAUAUAUAUAUAUGCGUGUUCAUGUGUGUAUGUUUUCUGUGACAGAGGUGUAACAUAUAGUAGAAUAUAUAUUUUGCAAAAGGUUAAAUAUCUUAAUCCAAUCAAUUGUUUUUAGGACAUGUUUGCUGCUGGCACUGAUACCACAUAUACUGCCUUAGAGUGGGCAAUGACUGAGCUUUUAAGGCAUCCAAGGGUCAUGAACAAAUUGCAGAAUGAGGUAAGGGGAAUAGUCGGAAACAAAACAGACGUAAUUACAGAGGAUGAUUUGGUUGAAAUGCACUACUUGAAGGCAGUGACGAAGGAGACUCUUCGCUUACAUCCACCACUUCCAUUACUAUUUCCCAGGAUGUCAACCCGAGAUGUAGAAGUAAAUGGCUACAUCAUUAAAGCCAACACACAAGUUUUCAUCAGCGCAUGGCAAAUCGGAAGAGAUCCCAAGCUGUAUGACAAACCAGAGGAGUAUGAGCCAGAAAGGUUCUUGAAUAAUGGUAUAGAUUACAAAGGGAAUGACUUCGAAUUGAUUCCAUUUGGAGCUGGUAGGAGGGCAUGCCCAGGAAUUCAGUUUGCCAUGGCUGUUAAUGAAAUUGCCUUAGCAAACAUCGUGCACAAGUUCGAUUGGGCAUUGCCCGGUGAAGCAAGUGGGGAGGAUUUAGACAUGACAGAAACCACUGGUUUAACCGCACAUAAAAAAUAUCCUCUCAAAGCUGUUGCUUUUCCACAAUUCUAAGUUGAGAAAUAGAGGGCAGUUUCAUAUUAUUGUCUAAGGCUCUAAGCCUGUUACCAACACUGUUAGCACAAUAAAAAUUGUCAAAAUAUUAUGUAAUAUUCUAUUUUGUUCUUGUCUUCUGCCCAAGUGGAUGAACUCUUGUGGACUAACUCAUCCCUAGAAGAAGAAGAAGAACAAAUUUCUUGACAAUGAGAUCAUGAUGUUGAACAUAUAUGUAACUUAUUGUAACAUGAAUUUUGACUCUUAAAAAAUGAUCUUGGGUUUCUUUUUUUUCUUUUUCGGUACAUGAAUUUUGACUCUUUUCCCAAUUUUAUAUCUCCCAAAAAAAAAAAAAAAAAAAGUCUUACAUUAGUUUUUAAAGUAGCAAUUCAAACCAGGUUUAAACAGUUGACAUCUACUCGUUAUCGGUAAUUUGCCUAUAUUUAUGUUUUCUUUUUAAUUGUUUUGGUGUUGCUUGCAGUGUGGUGUAUCAUCUCUACUAAACAGUAUAGCCGUGCGGGUAUACGUGUAAAAUAUUCGAAUAAUUAUAGCUAUACAGUAUUGCCGUGUGGCUAUACUUGUAAAAUAUAUUUAAGGGUGCUGUAAAAUAUAAUAAGGAGUAUAGCCGCGCGGCUUUACUUGUAAAAUCUUCUAAAUAGUACGUUUAAAAUAUACGAAUUUAAUUUAAGGUAUAGCCGGUCGGCUAUACUGAUAAAAUAUUCGAAAAUAUUUUUGUCCAAAAAAAUAGAACUAGCAAAUUUUCAUCUUGACGAAAAAAAUUUGGAAAUCGUGUUAAGCCAAAAUCCGCCCUUUUUGACAGAAAAAAAUGAAAAACAAAAACCCUAACCAGAGAGAAAGAGAGCUAUUUCAAUUUUCAAUGGCGAUACAGACCACCUCGAGUUCGAGCGGAAGAAGACAUGCUUUAGGCAUACAACUCAAAGCACUUGUUUGGUAAGCUUCCAAUUCGCUAUUUUCCCACUUGUAUGAUUUUGGAUUAGACGAAUCUUAUUGCAUAGAAAUAGCGAGAAAAAUGACAGACUAAAAUUCUAAUCUCCUCCCCAAAUGCCACCAUUGUUGGAAUUUGAAGCAAUUGAAAACAUAGUUGUUUUUAUUUUAUUUUUCAAUUUCAAGUAGAAAAAGAAGAGAAUUCAAGGUUUUUGGCAUAGUAGAAUUGUGAACUAUUUCUACAAUCUAGUUUGGUGGGAGUUACUGUGGGGAGUUUAGGGAAGCUUGCAAUUAAUUCUUUAAUCUGUCACUGUCAAUGUAGUUUGGAGGGAGUUUCUGCGGAGACUACUUCUAGGGCAUUUGGGGACCUGUAAAGACAUAUAUUCAGAGCCAACUAGUCUUUGUGCAAGUCAGGUAUUGAUUUAACAUUCAUGGCUAAUGGGUAAAGCUCAAUUUUCAAAUACUGGAUCUGGCAUUUUAUUUUCUUGCUCAAGUGUUUCCGUAGCUUAGUUUGUAUGUAUCACCCCUUUUCUUUUGGCCUUUCCCACAACUGCUCGGUGACCCUGGCAAAAAUACGACUUCAACUCCUAAUAGAAAAUAUAUAUUCUAAUAGGAUUUCUACUUCCUAACAUGCACUCCCCACACUUGUUUAUUGCCAUAUUUUGUCCCAAAAAGGAAAAUUCAGAAGUACCCUGUUUUGGUCAUUAUUCUGUUUCUCUCUCCUUAAUCUGGUUCUUAUUUUUAGUGUAUUAGUUUUGUUUCUAAUUAUGAUUUCAUCUGCACUUGCAGGUUAUGUUCUAUGAAGGGUUGAAAGAUUAAAUAGAGUAUGGGAAGCAAAAAUAGGUAUGCAAUCCAAAUUUCCAUAUUGGUUGUUCUGUUUGGGGGACACCCAUACUAGGAGGAUUGGCUAGUGGUGAUAUGUACCUUGCCUAUACUAUGUCUUUAAAUCUUGUAUAAUUGGUUUCAGUAUUUUUUUGUAGGGUAAUAUAUUCUUGCCUUAGGUUUUUUGUAGGGCCUCAGAUUUACGUCUCAAAUUUUUCUACUAUUGUAUCACUCAUGGGAUGGAUUAUGGAAGUUAGACAUGAUAGCAAAAAGGUUUAUCAGUUUCCAUCUAAUGUUUUUGUGAACUUCAGGUACAAUGGGUGGUUGGAUGCACAGGGGAUGUUCAGGUAGCAAAUCCAGCUUUAGCUCUUACCUUAAUGGCUGCACUACGGAAUUUCCCAGAAGGAUUGAGCAAUGAUAACACACGAGGGUACCCUAAAGGUUGUCCCUCAGAUAUUUGAGGGAUCCCUCAAUAGGAGAGAGAGAGGAAAUGAAGCAUUUUUUCUCGUCUUUUAUGUAAAGUUCACAUCAUCAGGAGGGGAUAAGAUUUGAAGAGUGAAGAGAUUGACAAGCAUUCUGUGUGAGAGAGAGAGAGAGAGAGAGAGAGAGAGAGAGAGAGAGUCCCUCUCCCUAGUUUCAAGGGUUGGUCCCAGUUUCCUGAUUCUCUAGUUGAUGAGCAUAUGUGUACUUUUUGUUGUACUCGUGUCGUGUGGACUAACUCAACCCUAGAAGAAGAAGAAUUGAAACAAAAUAACUUGCUCAUAAACUUGUAUGCAGCUCAAAUUUGUGAGGGGGUGGUUUGAACUUUUAAAUACAUGGUUUUGUUUUUGUUGGUUCUAGAAAGUGUGUUCGACCAACAGAAAAAGAAAGUGUGUGAGUGGCGUUCUGAUACUACUAUUGGGUUUUUAGAAGGAACAAUAAAGUGAUUUUAUUUAUUCAACAAUGGGAUGGAUACAAGGCUUAGGUAUUUGGCCUGUUAGUUGUAGCUAUUGGCCUUUAUCACUAGCUUUAUGACAAACAGAGAGCUUAAUGCCUAUUUAUGGAGGGAACAACCAUCUAGUAAAGUCGGUUAUUCUAGUAAACCUACAGUAAUUCCAGCCACAUAUUGUAGCUUCAACUAGAACUUUCUACUAGCUUCGAUUAAGUUAGUGACUCGCAUUUAGGGAAUACAUCUACCGACUUUGCAUUCUAAAUUAUCCUAGAAAAUUCUGCUAGCUUAUACAAAUCUCCACCAAAUGUGCAUUAUUUUUCAACAGUUUUCUUUGCCUUUGUUUAAACACACACAACACAUUCUUAGCACCAACUCUGAAGAUGCUAAAUCCCUUGCAAGUAUUGCAAGAGCUAAAUGAAAGCUACUCCUUUUUGCAACCUUUGGCCUUCACACUGCUGGUCAUUUUCCUCGUCCUCCUAUACACAUGGUACUCUUCGACUAAAACCACCACCCAAAAGUCAUCCCCACCACCUUCUCCACCAAAGCUCCCUAUCAUUGGGAACCUUCACCAGCUAGGCUCGUACCCUCAUCGUUCAAUUCAAGCCUUGUCCCAGUGCCAUGGCCCUCUCAUGCUUCUCCACUUUUCAAGUGUCCCGGUGCUUGUUGUCUCUUCAGCUGAGGCAGUUAGACAAGGUGGCUAAGCAGUUGGAUGACUUUAUAGAUACAGCGGUACAGGAGCAUAUGAACCAUAGUUCAAGGAGUGGAGAUGAUGACCAAAAGGAUUUUUUGGACGUUUUGCUUGCAAUUCAGAAAGAAAACUAUUUUCUUUCUAUAUUCAUUUUAGAAGGUUGGAUGUGUGAAACACAUAAGAUCAUGAAUUUCGAGUUCUGCUUAAGAGUAUCUAAAGUGUUCCUUUAGCGUUUGUUCAUCCAAACAAAAAUAAAGAUCCGUGCGAGUUCCAUAUUCUUGUGUAAGUUCAAUUUGCCACAGCUGUUACUGAGAUUGCUUUAGCAAAUAUAGUACAUAAGUUUGAUUGGAAAUUGCCUGGUGGAGCAACCAACAAGGAUUUGGACGUGACUGAAGCUACUGGUUUAACCAUGCAUAGGAAAUAUCCUCUCAAAUCUGUUGUUGUGAGUGUGAAUGCAAAUGUCUUAAACUGGUUUCUUGGGAAAUUUUUUGUGUUUUGGGAAUUUGACUGAAGCUAUUGGUUGAACCAUGCAUAGGAAAUAUCCUCUCAAAUCUAUAUAUGUCCAUGAUGAGAACAUGUAAAAGAAAGAAUAAAAGAAAUCACUUACAGUUUUGAGUGGGAAAAGGAGAGAGGGAUCUCUUGUUGAUACAAAAUUGACAGCAAGUAUAUGGUGAGAAAUGGUGGACCAUAACUUGGAACAAGAAUUGUAAAAGAAGUCCUUGAUUGAUGCAGGAGCAUGGGGAUGGAUCAGGACAGAUAUUACCCUUUAAUUUGUUAUUUUUUGAGAUAUUGUUAUUUUCUUAUUUAGGUAGUUUUAGGAUAUCUUUUAUUAUUUAUGUGUGAUUUUAUAAUUAAUUAACUUACUUUUGGACCAAGUAGCAUUGGUGAGUCUUGUAAAGCCUAUAAAUAAGCUAAUGUAAUAGUUGUAGGGAAGUUUAUUAUGAUUAAUAAAAAAAGUUUAUUUGUGGCAUGGAUUUGCUAUGAUAUAUGUGAGUUUGCACUAACUCUAGAUUUUGGUGCUCGUGUGUGUUGUUGGUGACCUAUGUCCGGACCCCGAUCCCCAUCAUUAUUUAUUUUUCAACAGGCAUCCCAUACUAUCUUUCUUCUUCUAUAUGUCAACGACAUCGUGGUAACUGGCAGUGAUUCCACUCAUCUCCAACAAUUCAUCUCUCUUUUAGGUGGCUACUUUGACACCAAAGACCUUGGUUCGCUAAGCUAUUUCUUGGGUUUACAGGCUUUUCAUAAGGAUGACACUCUCUACAUCAAUCAACUCAAAUAUGCAUAUGAUCUUUUACAGAAAGCCAAUCUUCUCAACUCCAAACCCACAUCUACCCCAUUGGCUGCCUAGGUUCUCCUCUCUGUCUCUGAUGGUGCUCUAAUCUCCAAUCCAAUCGAGUAUCGCGAGCUUGUUGGCAGUUUAUAGUAUCUCACUCUUACUCGCCCUGACAUAUCGUUUGCUGUCAACAUUGUUGCUCAGUUCAUGAGUGCCCCUUGCACCUCUCACCUUGUUGCUUCAAACGAAUACUAAGGUACAUCAAGGGCACUAUUGAUCUCGGCCUCACCUUCACUCCUCAAACUGCCAUAGCUCGCCUCUUCCCCUACUCUGAUGCGGACUGGGCUGGGUGCCCUAAUUCUCGUUGGUCAACCACUGGAUAUGAUAUUACUCUUGGAACUAACCUCAUCUCAUAGUGUUCCAAGAAACAAUCCACAGUCUCGCGCUCUAGUACAGAAUCGGAAUACCGUGCCCUCUCUCAUGCUUGUGCCGAAACCACUUGGCUCUGUUCCUUUCUUCAUGAAUUGGGUGUGUGUCUUUGGUUUCCGAUCCAACUCUUUUGUGACAAUCUCAGCACCACGUACAUGGCUGCCAAUCCAAUUUUCCAUGCCCGCACAUGUCACAUUGAGUUGGACUAUCACUUUGUCCGUAAAAAGGUUGCUCUUGGAAGUCAUCAAGUUUGCUUUGUUCCUUCUGUCGACCAACCUGCAGACCUGUUUACCAAAGCCCUUCACAAACCACGCCAUCAACAUAUGUUUUCCAAACUUGUGCAUCCUGUGACGCCUAGUUUGCAGGGGGUGUUAACGUAGCUUUCCUUUCCUAGCACACACGGAAGUCAACUUCACAAUCUCCUCCUAGCAAUUAGCUUUUUCUGCUGUAAAUCGGAUUGUAUUCAUGUCUAUAUUAUUUCCUACCUUAAGUAGAUUUUCUUUAUCAAUAUAAAUAGGGACUUUGUGUAAUCUGUUUAAUACAAGGAAAUAUAUUAUUUACAUCUUCUGCCCAAGUGGAUGAAUUCGUGUGGAAUAACUCAUCCCUAGAAGAAGAAGAAGAAGAAAGAGGAAGAUAACAAAUUGAAACAAACAAAGUCGUCCAUAAACUUUUAUGUGGCUCCAAGUUGGCCGACACAUGCUCUCCUCUUACAAAUGGACCAUCAUAAUGCUCACACACAAAUUUGUGAGGCGGUGGUUUCAACUUUUAAAUACAUUGGAUGAUCCUAUCCUCUUGUUGUUUUGUUUUCUUAUGGAACCACGGACGGUUCUGUUCUGCAUGGUAGGAUGAUCUUUGCCUUUAUAAAAAACACACACAACACAUUCUUUUCUUAGCACUAACCCUGAAGAUGCUAAAUACCUUGCAAGUAUUGCAAGAGCUAAAUGAAAGCUCCUCCUUUUUGCAACCAUUGGCCUUCACACUGCUGGCCAUUUUCCUUGUCCUCCUAUACACAUGGUACUCUUCGACUAAAACCACCACCCAAAAAUCAACACAACCACCUUCUCCGCCAAAGCUACCUAUCAUUGGAAACCUUCACCAGAUAGGAUCGUACACUCAUCGCUCACUUCAAGCCUUGUCCCAACGCCAUGGCCCUCUCAUGCUUCUCCACUUUGGAAGUGUCCCGGUGCUUGUUGUCUCUUCAGCUGAGGCAGCCCGGGAGAUCUUGAAAACUCAUGACCUUGCGUUUUCUGAUCGACCCAAGUCCACAAUCUUUGAGAAGCUUCUCUACAACUACAAAGAUGUCGCAACCGCUCCGUAUGGUGAGUAUUGGAGGCAGGUGAGAAGUAUAUGUGUUUUAAAUCUUUUGAGCAACAGAAGGGUUCGGUCUUUUCGUUCUGUGAGAGAAGAGGAAACCAAAUCCAUGAUCAGAAACAUAAAGGACUCAUCAUCAUCAUCUGUUUUGAAUCUAAGCGAGAUGUUUGUGAGGCUUACUAAUGAUGUAGUGUGUAGAGUGGCUCUAGGGAGGAAGUACAGUGAAGGGGAAGGCGGGGAAAGUGGGAGGAUGUUUAAGGAGAUUUUAGGGGAUUUCGCUGACUUACUGGGAACUGUUAAUAUUGGGGACUAUAUCCCAUGGCUUUCUUGGUUGAGCCAUGUCAAUGGUUUGGGAGCCAAGUUAGACAAGGUGGCUAAGCAGUUGGAUGACUUUAUAGAUACAGUGGUUGAAGAGCAUAUGAACCAUAGUUCAAGGAGUGGAUAUGAUGACCAAAAGGAUUUUUUGGACAUUUUGCUUGCAAUUCAGAAAGAAAACUUGGCUGGCAUUCCUAUUGAUAGAGUUAAUGUAAAGGCUAUUAUCUUGGUAACUCUCUCUCUCUCUCUCUCUCUCUCUCUCUCUCUCUCUCUCUCUAUAUAUAUAUAUAUAUAUAUAUAUAUAUAUAUACAUAGAUGUGUGUGUGUAUGUUUUUUGUGAAAGAGGUGUAACAUAAAGUAGCAUAUAUAUUUUGCAAAAGGUUAAAUAUCUUAAUCCAAUCAAUUGUUUUUAGGACAUGUUUGCUGCUGGCACUGAUACCACAUAUACUGCCUUAGAGUGGGCAAUGACUGAGCUUUUAAGGCAUCCAAGGGUAAUGAACAAAUUGCAGAAUGAGGUAAGGGGAAUAGUCGGAAACAAAACAGACGUAAUUACAGAGGAUGAUUUGGUUGAAAUGCACUACUUGAAGGCAGUGACGAAGGAGACUCUUCGCUUACAUCCACCACUUCCAUUACUAUUUCCCAGGAUGUCAACCCGAGAUGUGGAAGUAAAUGGCUACAACAUUAAAGCCAACACACAAGUUUUCAUCAACGCAUGGCAAAUCGGAAGAGAUCCCAAGCUGUAUGACAAACCAGAGGAGUAUGAGCCAGAAAGGUUCUUGAAUAAUGGUAUAGAUUACAAAGGGAAUGACUUUGAAUUGAUUCCAUUUGGAGCUGGUAGGAGGGUCUGCCCAGGAAUUCAGUUUGCCAUGGCUGUUAAUGAAAUUGCCUUAGCAAACAUCGUGCACAAUUUCGAUUGGGCAUUGCCCGGUGAAGCAAGUGGGGAGGACUUAGACAUGACAGAAACCACUGGUUUAACCGCACAUAAAAAAUAUCCUCUCAAAGCUGUUGCUUUUCCACACUUCUAAGUUGAGAAAUAGAGAGGGCAGUUUCAUAUUAUUGUCUGAGGCUCUAAGCCUGUUACCAACACUGUUAGCACAAUAAGAAUUGUCAAAAUAUUAUUUAAAAUUCUAUUUUGUUGUUGUCUUUUGCCCAAGUGGAUGAACUCUUGUG
Molecule: long non-coding RNA, 9631 nt
Filed under: Prunus dulcis (almond)
Lineage: Eukaryota; Viridiplantae; Streptophyta; Magnoliopsida; Rosales; Rosaceae
Description: sRNA ncRNA
Source: RNAcentral